RNAcentral lists this ribosomal RNA (422 nucleotides) under uncultured bacterium. RNAcentral describes it as "bacterial SSU rRNA". It matches the Rfam family "Bacterial small subunit ribosomal RNA", at positions 355 to 774 of the family's 1533-position model. The record is from RNAcentral.
UAAGGAAUAUUGGACAAUGGUCGCAAGACUGAUCCAGCCAUGCCGCGUGCAGGAAGACGGCCCUAUGGGUUGUAAACUGCUUUUGUACCAGAGAAAACCUAUCUACGUGUAGAUAGCUGAUAGUAUGGUAAGAAUAAGCAUCGGCUAACUUCGUGCCAGCAGCCGCGGUAAGACGAAGGAUGCAAGCGUUAUCCGGAUUCAUUGGGCUUAAAGGGUGCGUAGGCGGGCUUGUAAGUCAGUGGUGAAAUCUCUAAGCUUAACUGAGAAACUGCCAUUGAUACUGCAGGCCUAGAGUAUAGAUGACGUUGGCGGAAUAUGACAUGUAGUGGUGAAAUACUUAGAUAUGUCAUAGAACACCGAUUGCGAAGGCAGCUAACGAAACUAUAACUGACGCUGAGGCACGAAAGUGCGGGGAUCAAACA